RNAcentral lists this ribosomal RNA (431 nucleotides) under uncultured bacterium. RNAcentral's name for it is "partial 16S ribosomal RNA". It matches the Rfam family "Bacterial small subunit ribosomal RNA", at positions 29 to 507 of the family's 1533-position model. The record is from RNAcentral.
AACGAACGCUGGCGGCAGGCUUAACACAUGCAAGUCGAGCGCCCCGCAAGGGGAGCGGCCGACGGGUGAGUAACGCGUGGGAACGUACCUUUUGGUUCGGAACAACUCCGGGAAACUGGAGCUAAUACCGGAUAAGCCCUAACGGGGAAAGAUUUAUCGCCGAACGACCGGCCCGCGUCUGAUUAGCUAGUUGGUGAGGUAACGGCUCACCAAGGCGACGAACAGUGGCUGGUCUGAGAGGAUGACCAGCCACACUGGGACUGGGACACGGCCCAGACUCCUACGGGAGGCAGGAGUGGAAAAUAUUGGACAAUGGGCGCAAGCCUGAUCCAGCCAUGCCGCGUGAGUGAUGAAGGCCUUAGGGUUGUAAAGCUCUUUUGUCCGGGAAGAUAGUGACUGUACCGGAAGAAUAAGCCCCGGCUAACUUCGUG